Long non-coding RNA from Anas platyrhynchos (mallard), 1197 nucleotides. RefSeq lists it as uncharacterized. The record is from RefSeq and is a predicted model, not a curated record. NCBI's taxonomy places the organism in Eukaryota, Metazoa, Chordata, Aves, Anseriformes, Anatidae.
UAGCAGUAUGCAUGGGCUCGGAAUGGGCAUGUGACUGCAGAUCUAGAGAGCUGGAUCAGAGCAAAAGUGCUGCCAGACUACAGGGCUGAGCGUUGUACAAGACUUUGACACCCUGAGAGGGAAUAAUGCCUAUCUUUAAGCGGGGUCCGUGCAGCGCUUCAGAUCUUGGAAGGCAAACCCUCUGGUAUUGCAGCUGAAGCACUCUGUCAGGAGGCUGUUGCUGUGGCUGGACGUGUGGAGCAAGGAACAUCGUGAGAUUUUUGUGGUGUCAUUAGAUUACUGCUCAUGUGAAAUUGAGUGAUGGAUAGUUUACAUAGUCAGCCUUUUAGCAAAGUUCACCGGCAUGGCUCCAACUGUAUGUAUCGAGGCUAAUCUCAAUUACAACUUGAAAAUGCCUCUGUCUUUGUCACCGCAGGGAUGGUCUGGAAAGUAUCGACUGAUUGCUACAGCUGAAAGCUUGUCAUGUUGAUCUUUAUCCCACCAAAGAUCACAGUGCACUCAGUGUACCAUGCAACUGUUCCACCCUGAUGGCUUUCAUUUUUCCUGGUUUUGCUGUUUGUCUAGGCCUUUCAUACGAUAGUAAUCAAGGAAAAAAAAAUGUAUUAAAAAACAAGUAUGAGGCUUGGAUUGUUUUAAACUGAGAUAAUAAUGAGGGAAUUUGGGAACAGUUGUACUGGCAUUCCUUUAAAAUCUUCCCACCUUCAACUUGGCUGGAAUUCAGGUAGACGAUGAUAGUAGAAAUCAAUACACAGAGGAAAAGUUUGUCAGAUUCAAUCAAGGAAGAUUUCAAAAAAAUGGCCAAGGAUUCUCAAUGCAAGGAAGAAGAAGAAACCAGCAAGGCCACUGAGGUGGGGAGAGGGCCAGUGGAGACAUGUAAUGAAUGGCGAUAACUGCAUUUAAGUUCUUUGGCAAGCGAAGUCCUCCUUAAGAUCUUUCUGUUCAAGGAACCUGUCUGUGGGAAAGCAAAUGACGUAGAAAGCAAGGUGAAGAUAAAAUUCCAGGAAUACACUUGCGCAGACCUACCUGAAACUGCUUCUUGCCAGGAGCCGGUGUUCCCAGCCUCUGAGGGCAAUGCCUCUGCACCAGUUCUGAGAUACACUUGCCUUCAGCUCUAUGAACAGGGGUUAACAGGGGGCUGUAGAAGAAUUAUUUGUGCUGAGACAUUUUUUAAUAAAAGCUAUUAAAAAGAUUACACAA